CUUUGAGUAAGUGAAAUGAAGCGUGAAUAACUGCCUAAUUAGUGGACAUGAAACCUGGACAGUCUCCAAAGUCAUCAGAGAUGACCACGCUUGCCAGGCAACUUACUAGACUAAGGAUACGACAGGGAAAAACAGUCCAUGAGGACGCUUUGAUUUUCCUUUACAACGCGUUACUAAAUGACAUGAGUAGCCUUUCCAUCCUGG
Molecule: long non-coding RNA, 204 nt
Filed under: Gorilla gorilla gorilla (western lowland gorilla)
Lineage: Eukaryota; Metazoa; Chordata; Mammalia; Primates; Hominidae
Description: lncRNA (ENSGGOG00000044577.1)
Source: RNAcentral